GCUUGCUACCUGACCUAGCGGCGGACGGGUGAGUAAUGCUUAGGAAUCUGCCUAUUAGUGGGGGACAACAUUCCGAAAGGAAUGCUAAUACCGCAUACGCCCUACGGGGGAAAGCAGGGGAUCUUCGGACCUUGCGCUAAUAGAUGAGCCUAAGUCAGAUUAGCUAGUUGGUGGGGUAAAGGCCUACCAAGGCGACGAUCUGUAGCGGGUCUGAGAGGAUGAUCCGCCACACUGGGACUGAGACACGGCCCAGACUCCUACGGGAGGCAGCAGUGGGGAAUAUUGGACAAUGGGCGAAAGCCUGAUCCAGCCAUGCCGCGUGUGUGAAGAAGGCCUUUUGGUUGUAAAGCACUUUAAGCGAGGAGGAGGCUACUUGGAUUAAUACUCUAGGAUAGUGGACGUUACUCGCAGAAUAAGCACCGGCUAACUCUGUGCCAGCAGCCGCGGUAAUACAGAGGGUGCGAGCGUUAAUCGGAUUUACUGGGCGUAAAGCGUGCGUAGGCGGCUUUUUAAGUCGGAUGUGAAAUCCCUGAGCUUAACUUAGGAAUUGCAUUCGAUACUGGGAAGCUAGAGUAUGGGAGAGGAUGGUAGAAUUCCAGGUGUAGCGGUGAAAUGCGUAGAGACCUGGAGGAAUACCGAUGGCGAAGGCAGCCAUCUGGCCUAAUACUGACGCUGAGGUACGAAAGCAUGGGGAGCAAACAGGAUUAGAUACCCUGGUAGUCCAUGCCGUAAACGAUGUCUACUAGCCGUUGGGGCCUUUGAGGCUUUAGUGGCGCAGCUAACGCGAUAAGUAGACCGCCUGGGGAGUACGGUCGCAAGACUAAAACUCAAAUGAAUUGACGGGGGCCCGCACAAGCGGUGGAGCAUGUGGUUUAAUUCGAUGCAACGCGAAGAACCUUACCUGGUCUUGACAUAGUAAGAACUUUCCAGAAAUGGAUUGGUGCCUUCGGGAACUUACAUACAGGUGCUGCAUGGCUGUCGUCAGCUCGUGUCGUGAGAUGUUGGGUUAAGUCCCGCAACGAGCGCAACCCUUUUCCUUAUUUGCCAGCGGGUUAAGCCGGGAACUUUAAGGAUACUGCCAGUGACAAACUGGAGGAAGGCGGGGACGACGUCAAGUCAUCAUGGCCCUUACGACCAGGGCUACACACGUGCUACAAUGGUCGGUACAAAGGGUUGCUACCUAGCGAUAGGAUGCUAAUCUCAAAAAGCCGAUCGUAGUCCGGAUUGGAGUCUGCAACUCGACUCCAGA
RNAcentral lists this ribosomal RNA (1249 nucleotides) under uncultured Acinetobacter sp. Its description in RNAcentral is "bacterial SSU rRNA". It matches the Rfam family "Bacterial small subunit ribosomal RNA", at positions 78 to 1322 of the family's 1533-position model. The record is from RNAcentral. Lineage: Bacteria; Pseudomonadati; Pseudomonadota; Gammaproteobacteria; Moraxellales; Moraxellaceae.